Molecule: long non-coding RNA, 2853 nt
Organism: Anolis carolinensis (green anole)
Lineage: Eukaryota; Metazoa; Chordata; Lepidosauria; Squamata; Anolidae
Source: Ensembl
AUGAGCUCAGCUGCAGGCAAUUGCGCACUUAAGGAGGCUUCUUACCUGUUUCUACUUCCUACUCUAGAGAAGAGGUGCUUAGUUGCAGGCAGGCUCGUGCGCUUCCUGCACACCACACACCACACACACACACACACGCCAAGGGAGUGGUUCUCAACUUGUGGGAACCCAGGUGUUUUGGCCUACAACUCCCAGAAAUCCCAGCUGUUAGGGUUUCUGGGAGUGAAGGCCAAAACAUCUAGGGAUCGACAGGUUGAGAACCACUGCUCCAAGGCAAGGCGGCAAGUUCUUCUGGCUUUCUUACAGAGGGGAGGAGAGGUACUUGGCCAGGCAGGCACAGUACACUUCCUGCACACCACACAUGCACUCUACAAGGCAAGGAGGCAAGCACCAUGCGCUCACAUAAAGCAGGAUCUCUGUUUCAGAAGAUGUGUUUAGAAGACUGCUUUGGGACCUGACGGCUUGCCUCCAUCGCUUUGGCUCUUGUGUUUACCUUGGACUGGAAUUCGGUGACUGUGACUUCUUCCUGAUGACCUGGACUGGAAUUCAGUGACUAUGACUUCUUCCUGACUACCUGGACUGGAAUUUGGUGACUGUGACUUCUCCCUGACAACUUGGACUGGAACUCGACGCCUGUGACUUCUCCCUAACGAUGCGGACUGGACGUGGCAACUGUGACUUCUCCUUUACAACGUGGUUUUGCUUUAGCAACGUUUUGGGGCAUUGUGUGGCCGUUGGUCACUGUGGGUUACUGCUGGUUUGUUUCAUGUGUUUGUUUAGCUCCAACCAGCAGGUGGAGCGAGUUUCCAGCCUUUUCAACUAAGUUUGUUUUAAUCUGGAUUAUUUCCCAGGAUAAUCCAAAUUAUAUCCCAAGUUUGGGUCUUUUGAGUUCUUUUUGGACAUUGUUACCUCACACUGAAGAGAAAGUGUUUUGAGCCUCCUUUUGGUUGUUUCUUAGGCUCUGUUAGGUUCUGCUAAGUUCAUUUCAGAAACUCCAACAUUUUAGCAUUUCACAAAUCUAGAUCUCCAAAAAUAUAUUUUCUUUUAAAUAAAAAGAUAAAUUAUAUAUUUCAUUGUAAUCUCUUGAUAAACUAUACAUCUUUUUGGGGGGGUACAGUGGCUAUCACACUGGAUAAGCAUUGUUUUGGUACAAGUAUUCCUCUUUUUCUCCCUUGAUCUCUGUUAAAUCUGUGUCGUGGAAAUAUAGUUGUGCUUACUGGCAAUUGCCAUAUUAAGUAGUUCCGGGAUAAUAAAAACAGACUACCAAGUAUAAAUAUUUUUCAUUUUAGAAAAUACUAGGUUAAUUGAAAUUGACCAGGGAGGUAGGAAUUAAAAGCCCUUUGUAGUAUUAGGAGUUUCCAUAAAAUAGUUUGAGAUGAAGAAAAUGUCAUAUAGAGCUCCAAAAUAAAAUUGGGUUGUACAGGAACAAACUUGGGAUUUCCUGAGAUUUUUCCCAUCUGGAAGGGGCCCAAGUAUUUAUUUUCUUUUCCCUCUACUUUUGAUAUUUUGCAAUGAGCUCUAGAUGGUGUCUCUUGUUAUUAUUGACACCUUGCAUGAUUUCCAUUCUGGUCAGUUGGCAAUUGUCAUUCUGUGCAAGACAGGUCUGAGACAACCACAAAAAGAUCAAGACCAAGUUACUUUUCCCCUCUAACCAUCCCAUGCUAGAGGGCUUGCUGACGGCAAACGGUUUCAUACUAACUCUUUGGUACUGGAGUACUGAUGCGCCCAAGGUUAUGGAUUCACUCUUUGCUUGGAGGCAAUGAUAAUCUUGUUCUACAGGGAUUUAUAAAACCCUGAGGCAAAUAUAGUUGAUAGAGAAGGAGCAUAAAUCCCUAAAGUUUUUAGGGCCAAUGUAACUCUUUCCAGGCACAAACAGAAUGAUUCUAUCUUUUGAAAGUGCCUAUUUUUAAUGUCCUUGGAUUUUGUCCCACCAGGAGCUUCUGUGCUAAUGGAGGACAAUCUAUCCCAGCUGCAAAUUUCAGGAGCAGAUUCCUGUUCGCAAUUAUACAAGCUCUCUGUCCUUUGGACUAUGUACAGGACAAUUUCUAACAAGCAAUGAAUCUGUGAGAUUGUUGGAUUAGAAACUAGGACAUCCUAGCCAGAAUUCUAGUAGGGAAUUACAAAUUCUGGAGCAUUGUAGUGCUAUGCAGUGAAUCCUGCCCCAAUCUUCCCAAUUCUAACAUAGUAGUCAGAAGGUACUGUGAUCAAUAAAGGUCUGUUCCCCUGUCAAUUGAGAAGCUGCUGACUAACAGUCCCACCUCAGGAGCAAUCUUUGGUGUGACAGGCACAAACAGGACCCCUGUCCCAAUUCUCCUUUAUGUUAUAAAGUGUUAUUAUGCUACACUGGGAUCCAUCUUGAACCAUGUUCAGUUAAGUUAGCCUUAGGAUCUCAUCACAUUGGGAAAUUUACCCAAUGGUUCCAAUGGUGUCAAAGAAUAUACAGUAGAGUCUCACUUAUCCAACAUAAAGGGGCUGGCAGAAUGUUGGAUAAGCGAAUAUGUUGGAUAAUAAGGAGAGAUCAAGAAAAAACCUAUUAAACAUCAAAUUUGGUUAUGAUUUUACAAAUUCAGCACCAAAACAUCAUGCUAUACAACAAAUUGGACAGAAAAAGUAGUUCAAUAAGCAGUAAUGCUAUGCUGUAAUUACUGUAUUUACGAAUUUAGCACCAAAACAUCACGAUAUAUUGAAAACAUUGACUACAAAAAUGCGUUGGAUAAUCCAGAACAUUGGAUAAGUGAGUGUUGGAUAACUGAGACUCUACUGUAAUAAUAAUAAUAAUAAUAAUAAUAAUAAUAAUAAUAAUAAUAAUAAUAAUAGAUAGGUCAAUAAUAAUAAUUCUUACUUUAUUUCUUA